AGUCGCCGCCGCCAGCGGAGCGGCCCGGGCGGGACGCGGCGGGAGCGCGCGUGUGCGGGACGCAGCGCGGGGGAUGCGCGCGGGCCGCGGAGGCGCCGCAACCAACAGGCGGCCGAGGGUGCAGCCGCGGGAGCGCCACCGCCAGUGGGGUGGGGGGCAAAGCUAUAAAGAAGGCCCAGAGGAUUCCUGCGGAGCUGUAUUUACUUUACAUCCAUGUGAACUGCUGUCAUCACUACUGUGUCCAAGCCCAGAGGAUGAACUGGAAAAGAAGAGAGGGGGAAAAUAAUAAAAAGAGGAAAUUGGUUUUCACAACACACUCAAAGCCUGAGUAACAGAGGAGAACUUUAAUUAUCUCCAGUCACAAAGAGAGACAGGAAAUUUGGACUUUUAAUUAGCCAUUUGGAGUGCAGUUGGGUAUUUUUUUAGCUAGAUAAUUUAAACGCGAAUAAUUCAAGUCUGACUAAAUGAAAGUCACAUAAUCAGAAUGCAAAUAAUUGAAUUUCUACUGCAUUCAUUAAUUCAGUGUGGAGGUGUGUGUGAAGACUACUAUGAUGAGCUGUCACAGCUCAAUAAAAUCUCAGUCAAUUAAUUUUUUCAUUAUCUUAGUAUUAUAUCAACAAAAAAGUGAAGUGUGUAUAUAUAUCUAUACACGUGCAUAUGUGCAUACUAUGUAUUAUAUAAAUACAUAUACAUUAAAUCAAAAUGCAAGGAAAUACCUUUCUGAAUCAUAAUCUAUAUCAUUUUCUUUUUUUCCUUCUUCAUCUUCUUCAGGGAAACGUCUAUUCAUUAAGGCAAACUUGUGAAUUGCUUCUUCCACAGAGUACUUAGUCUGCCCAGAAACACACGCCUCAAUGUCUUCUGAAUUCAGAUGGCUCUGUAAGAAGAGGUGAAGGCUGCUAUCUGAAAGCAAAAGUGCAUUCUGUAGGACUCUAUAUUAAAAAAAAAAGGAAAAAUAAUUGGUGAACAGGAUGGUCAGUGAUAGGGUAGAAGAAAGAAAAACAUUAGAAAAGUACCACUGAAGAUUAAGAGAAGAGUUAUAGAGCAACAAUCCAUUAAUACGAACUUGGAUCGUGAAGUCUGUGAAGUCUGAGCAGAGUGUUUCCUGUGGCCUCUGUCAGCGGUUUCCUGCCUGCCAUAAGUACAAGGAACUGUUCAUGGGAUUGUACUCGUGGCUUUGUUUCUGUUGGAAAUGUGUUUUAUUUUCUUUAUAAAAUAAUGGGUAAUCUUUAAAAUUGAUUUUAGAUGGUUUGAGGCAUUACACCACAACAGUAAUGAGCACUAAUGCCAAUGAUAUUGGACACAAAUUCAUUUUAGCUUUAUUUCAUGUCUGAAGCAAUUCUACUGAGCCUUGAACUGCUCACGUGUUGUUAUUAACUUGCUAGUAACUUAACACAUGGGUACAGCAAACAAAAGUGAUCAGAGUCCAGGUUGAUCGGGACCUCAAGGCUACUGUCCUUUUUCUUGAGCUAUAAUUCAAUUUCCAAUUUUACUGUACAUUAGACUCAUUAUUUCCCAGCGUUUUCUUUUUCUGCUCAAUACUGCCAUCUGGAGGACACACAGAUGAAAAGAGAAGGAGCCAGGCUCACCCAGCUCACAAUUCCAAAGAGCCAGAAAGAUGUGGCUGGGGAGGGGACAUCUGAACACUCCCCCAGGCCUAGAGUUCAAACCAGUGAGUCGGCUAGGUACAGUUUUGGUUUUUGGAAUCUCCUCUGUUUCUCUGGCUAAAUUCAUGCCACCAUACUCCAUGAGUUUUAAAUAAGCAAAAAUAAUUUUUAAAUGUAUUUAUAUGCUUAUUUUAGUCAGAUAGUUCAUUCUGAAAUUUAAAAUGAAAAUUUUUGAGAGUGUUUUCCCAUCUGGUUAGGUGAGCAUAAUUAAUUUAUUUUGAGUACUAUUUGGCUUACUAUCAGAGAGGGCUGUGACUGCCACCAUCAUAAUAUUAAAUACUAUUUUUUCCUUAGUCAUGUUUGUGCCAUAUUUUCCACAAACAAAUCUAAUAGCCCAAAAUCAAUUUCAAACCUAAUAUAAAGAGUACUUUGUAAAACAGUCAAUAAAAUGUCAUUUGUAGAAACCUCCAUUUAAAAAGUAUAUGAUUUUCAAACCUUUAUAAAAGGAAUAAAAAAUAGCCUCUAGGAUUUUAAAAGAAUUUCUAGAAA
This 2153-nucleotide long non-coding RNA is filed under the name Homo sapiens (human). Its description in RNAcentral is "non-protein coding lnc-HNRNPA2B1-15:13". Lineage: Eukaryota; Metazoa; Chordata; Mammalia; Primates; Hominidae. The record is from RNAcentral.